Molecule: long non-coding RNA, 156 nt
Organism: Nelumbo nucifera (sacred lotus)
Lineage: Eukaryota; Viridiplantae; Streptophyta; Magnoliopsida; Proteales; Nelumbonaceae
Source: RefSeq, a predicted model, not a curated record
GUUCCAGAUAGUUAGUUGCAGAGAUAGUUCCAAAUAGUUGGUUUGAGAAUACUUUGGCAGAGGUUUUCUUCUCCUUAUUCAAAUUCACUUCCAGGUGCGUUUUGGCGUUAAAUUUUGUUCAAACUCAGUUCUGGCGUUAAAGUUGCACCGAGAAUA